This 402-nucleotide ribosomal RNA is filed under the name uncultured Solibacteraceae bacterium. RNAcentral's name for it is "partial 16S ribosomal RNA". It matches the Rfam family "Bacterial small subunit ribosomal RNA", at positions 355 to 774 of the family's 1533-position model. Lineage: Bacteria; Pseudomonadati; Acidobacteriota; Terriglobia; Bryobacterales; Solibacteraceae. RNAcentral also lists the same sequence under 1 other name. The record is from RNAcentral.
UGGGGAAUCUUGCACAAUGGAGGAAACUCUGAUGCAGCGACGCCGCGUGAGCGAUGAAGCCCUUCGGGGUGUAAAGCUCUUUCGACGGGAACGAUAAUGACGGUACCCGGAGAAGAAGCUGCGGCUAACUACGUGCCAGCAGCCGCGGUAAUACGUAGGCAGCAAGCGUUGUUCGGAAUUACUGGGCGUAAAGAGUGUGUAGGCGGUGCUCUAAGUUCGGUGUGAAAUCUCCCGGCUUAACUGGGAGGGUGCGCCGGAAACUGGAGUGCUUGAGCGCGGGAGAGGAAAGCGGAAUUCCUGGUGUAGCGGUGAAAUGCGUAGAUAUCAGGAGGAACACCUGUGGUGUAGACGGCUUUCUGGACCGUAGCUGACGCUGAGACACGAAAGCGUGGGUAGCAAACA